Molecule: long non-coding RNA, 2648 nt
Organism: Cyprinus carpio carpio
Lineage: Eukaryota; Metazoa; Chordata; Actinopteri; Cypriniformes; Cyprinidae
Source: Ensembl
AUGGUUUUAGCUGAAAAUGAUACACAUAUUGUUGCUUUCAUGCAUUAAUGAGUAACUUUAUCAAUAUGAACGGAUGUGUUAAAUCUUUUGAUGAAUGUGGCAGUGUUCUCUCUCAGAUGUGUCGAAGGAGUUACUGUGAGUGAGCGAGUGUAAUCCAGUGUGUGUGUGUGUGUGUGUGUGUGUGUGUGUGUGUGUGUGUGUGUGUCUAAUAACUUAAUCCUGAGAGACUGGGAGCACUAACCUCCCCCUGUAUAGUCUUCUGGUGAAAUACAGUUACUUUUCUCAUUUCGGCAUGGAUUGUAUGCCACAGAAUGAAACUAACACAACAUGUGGAAGCUUUACAGCUACCCUGUGAUGUGCUGUGGAGGUGUUUAUAGAAUAUACUUAUUAACAGAUCGUUAGUGAAAAAGUGCACUUAAUUGUACUGAACUUGCACUUAUAGUGUGCUUCAAAGAAAUAAAGAAAAAAGAAAAGAAAGCAAGAAAAAGAAAAACGCUGUAGCUACUUACAGAUAAUGUAACAUUAAUGAAAUAAAAGAAAGGGAUAAUUCACCCAAAAAUGAUUCUGUCAUCAUACUUAGUUACACACAUUCUUAAAAUAUCUUCUUUUGUGUUCAGCAGAAGAAAGAAACUAUGAUGAAAAUAAUGAAAGUAAUCCACAGCACUCCAGUCCGUCACUUAAUGUCUUGUGAAGCCAAAAGCUGUGUGUUUGUAAGAAAUAAAUCCAACGUUCAUGCAUUUUAACUUUAAACCAUCACUUCUGGCCAGAAUAUUAGUCCAUAAUCCAUAAGAACAUGUUCUUAAAUAGAGAACUAAUAAUUUAGCCCGAAGCAAUGAUUUGAAGUUUAAAAUGCUUUAAUGCUGGAUUUGUUUCAGUUUUUGUCUUCUCCAGAUGUUCACUGAUGGACUGGAGUGCUGUGGAUUACUUGUGGAUUAUUGUGAUGUUUUUAUCAGCUGUUUGGACUCUCAUUCUGACGGCACCCAUUCACUGCAGAGCAUCCAUUGAUGAGACACUGAUGCAAUGCUACAUUUCUACAAACCUGAUGAAGAAACAAACUCAUCCUGAUCUUGGAUGGCCUGAGGUCUUGUCCGGUCCUGCUGUGCGCCCUGUGAUUCAGUGCUCCAUCCUGUCCUGUCCUGUUAAUCUGAGGCUCCUCUACCUGCUGGUUUCACUCGAUUGGGGUCCAGCCUGGCCCAGUGUAUUUUUCCUUCACAUUCCUUGUUGCUGGACUUCAUCUACCUGGUUCUGCCAAUGACUCCAAGUCAUUGGAUCCUUUCUGGGUGGAUUAUUGGGGUCACCCUCAGCCUGGCUCUUACCCUCCUAUUUGACAAACAAAAGCUGUGUUCAACUUAAAGCAGCACUGCGCAGAUCGAUUGGUGUAUGACAUCAAAGUGCCAAUUCACAGAUCGGUCUGCUCAGCUCCGCUUUAAGUUGAACACACCUAAUGCGUCUACUGGAUUAACGUGCCUAUUGCUGCGUGUACUUAUUUUAUUUUCACCACCUGCAAACUCAUGAAGAGCUCAUAAAGGCACUUUACCUCCUCAUUGCUCUAUGUUUGCGCUCUGCUCAUUUUGUUUUGGGUGCACCAGUCGUUCGGUGUCAUCGUCAUUUUAAUCAAACCAAACAUGACAAGUGUGAACACACCCUUAUAGAUCUCAUUCUGAGCAAUUCGUCCAUGCAUAGCCUAUGUUUUUUGACCUUGUAAUGUGUAAUUAAAAUACCAUAACUGGAUCUUCUGGUGAACAUUUUCGAUUUAAUUAAAAAUACCUAUGUGCUGCAGCUUGCGAGUUAUGUGUUCGAGUGCAGCCCAUGACCCGCAGAGCUUCACUCUGAAACAUGCAGCACAUUUAUUUAUUAGCUGGUUAACCACCAAAAUAAAAGCAUACUUGAAUUUGAGCAGAGAUGCACUGAUCAACCAUCAGCCAUAAAUCAGAACGGGAUGGGGUUUUUUUUAUUUCAGAGUCUGUAAAAAGAGGCCAGAGAUGCAAAGAGGAGGAAAUACAUUAGCAGGCAGAGCAAGCUAACUGUUCACAAUGUGCAAAGUAUGAAUGUAUCUCUGAGGGGAACUGACUGUCUUUUGACAGUUUAAAUGGCAUUUUCCUUUCGUCUUGCCUCUGCAUAGUGCGGGGCAGUUGUGGCCUAAUGGUUUUAGAGUCGGUCUUGUAACCCAAAGGUUGCGGGCAGUAAUAUGGCUGCCCACUGCUCUGGGCCACACGUCACUUCACUUCACUUUAUUUAGUGUUUACAGCAGUAAUCAAGGAAACAAUGCAUCACUGCUGUUCCUUAAGCGCCCCCGCUGUCAGAGACUGAAUUUGAAUUUUCAUGCAGCCCAUCUGCUGUUUGGUAUGUUUUAUGUUGCUUAAUUUCACAAAGCUAAAGUCAGACCACUCUGUUUUUGCUUGAGGUUUUGAAAUUAUACAGUCUGAUUUAAAUCAAAAUAUAGGGUAAUAAAGCAACUAACCAUAUUCUACAUGCACUAUAUUUUCAUCCUUUCUUGUCUUUUGCUUAAAUAAAACACAUUAAAAAUCAGUUUUGGAUUCUGACAUGAAAAGUUAAGAUUAGUGCAUCCCUAAAUUUAUGAAUGUCUGAAAUGAAGAAAUUAAGAUUUAAAUGUUGUAGCUGUCGUUGGACAAUAAAGUUCUCUAAUU